Drosophila nasuta is the source of this 350-nucleotide long non-coding RNA. RefSeq lists it as uncharacterized. The record is from RefSeq and is a predicted model, not a curated record. The transcript has 3 exons. Lineage: Eukaryota; Metazoa; Arthropoda; Insecta; Diptera; Drosophilidae.
UUUGUGACAAAAUUGGCGGGAAAUUUUUAAUAACUUUGAGCGCUUGGCAAAUCUAAACUAAACAAUAUUUUUCUAUUAUUUAAAAUGGAUAUUGAAGUUGGAGGAAAUCAAAAAGCUGACAAAAGUGUUCGUCUUCUGUAGAGGAAAAAAAGGUGUUCUGCGUAUUUGUGCGUUGUUUAAUUUUGGUUUGCGGCUUUUUGCGGCUUUUCCGAUGCUUUAAUUAUUUAGAUGUGCUUGAAUUCUGUCACGCCACGUUGCUGGACGUGUGGAUGGACAGCGGGCGCCACUCUUCCGCGCUGGUUGAACUUGUAUUUGGUCAAAUAGAUUAAUGUACACUGAGUGACGACAAA